This 452-nucleotide ribosomal RNA is filed under the name uncultured bacterium. Its description in RNAcentral is "bacterial SSU rRNA". It matches the Rfam family "Bacterial small subunit ribosomal RNA", at positions 340 to 784 of the family's 1533-position model. The record is from RNAcentral.
UACGGAAGGCAGCAGUGGGGAAUAUUGCACAAUGGGCGCAAGCCUGAUGCAGCCAUGCCGCGUGUAUGAAGAAGGCCCUUCGGGUUGUAAAGUACUUUUCAGUCGUGAGGAAGGUGUUAAGGUUAAUAACCUUAGCAAUUGACGUUAGCGACAGAAGAAGCACCGGCUAACUCCGUGCCAGCAGCCGCGGUAAUACGGAGGGUGCGAGCGUUAAUCGGAAUUACUGGGCGUAAAGGGCACGCAGGCGGUUAAUUAAGUUGGAUGUGAAAUCCCCGGGCUUAACCUGGGAAUGGCAUUCAAGACUGGUUAGCUAGAGUCUUGUAGAGGGGGUAGAAUUCCAUGUGUAGCGGUGAAAUGCGUAGAGGAUGUGGAGGAAUACCGGUGGCGAAGGCGGCCCCUGGACAAGACUGACGCUCAUGUGCGAAAGCGUGGGGAGCAACGAGGAGUAGAGU